This 716-nucleotide long non-coding RNA is filed under the name Amborella trichopoda. RNAcentral's name for it is "long non-coding RNA (ATRI_LNC002554)". The record is from RNAcentral. Lineage: Eukaryota; Viridiplantae; Streptophyta; Magnoliopsida; Amborellales; Amborellaceae.
GCUUUUCCAAAUGAAUCUAUUAACAGAUUCCACUAGUAAUUGUGAAAUUAUUCAAUUUGGUAUCCACCUAGAAAUAUCAUAUGAGAAAACUAACCCACUUUCAUUAAAUUCCAAAAAGUAUAGCAUACCAUAAAACCAUCUCUUUCAGGCAUUUUACUGAACGCUUUCCCAGCAUUUUAACCUGACACAUGAACAAAUUGUAAUCGCACUACCUACAUAAAAACCACAUAAAUGGCCAUUUAAAUCUCACUACCUACAUAUACCACAUAAAAAGGCCAUUUAAUAGUCAAGCUACUUUGCCAUUUAACCUCUUGUUUCAUGGAGAAUCUCAUCUUAACCAACUCUCUUACUAGCUUUUGCCAAAUUUGGUCCUCUAAAAAAAUAUGCCCACAAAUUAUUUGACACGGUUGAGUGAAAAAUUUAUUUGUUGGACUUCUAUGAUCUCUGGUUAUUCUUAGUUGGACCUCUAUGGUUAUUCUCAUCAACACAAAAAACCUUUCCGCUUGUUGUAUUUGCACAGUGUACAAGAACAUGGAAUUCUACCUCUUAUAAUCUACAAAAGAUGGUUUUGUUUAUUUUUUUGGUCAAUAUAUCUCAUACAGAGCGCAAAGAGUGGCACUUGUCAUCACCUCCCAAUCAAAUGCAAUUUCUAUUGGUCCUUUUGGCCAAGAAUACGGAGACUAUUCUAUAAUGCAUGUAGGCUUUUCUUGUUGACU